GGGUAGUUCUCGCUCACUCUCUUUCUCUCUCGGCCCCUCGCUCACACACUCCGUUUCCCUCUAUAAUGCAAGCAUUAGAGGCAAGCCGCGGGCUGCAAGCGAGCUUUGAUGUCGACCUCUUGCUGCCGGCCUUGGGUCCUCACAAAGAGGCAAAUGACCUGAUCAUCUUCUCCAGCAGGAUACUCAGCUCACAGAGGAGAAUUCCUUGUAGCCAGGAGCCUCUACACUUGGGGACAAUUGGGAAUUCUCUUGCAGAACUCUUCCCAUUUGAAGUUACCUCCAAAAAACCCACACCAUGGUUCCCAG
Molecule: long non-coding RNA, 306 nt
Filed under: Mustela putorius furo (domestic ferret)
Lineage: Eukaryota; Metazoa; Chordata; Mammalia; Carnivora; Mustelidae
Description: lncRNA (ENSMPUG00000030722.1)
Source: RNAcentral